This 846-nucleotide ribosomal RNA is filed under the name uncultured bacterium. RNAcentral's name for it is "bacterial SSU rRNA". It matches the Rfam family "Bacterial small subunit ribosomal RNA", at positions 121 to 927 of the family's 1533-position model. The record is from RNAcentral.
CCCCUCUUACAGGUAAUGGGGGGAAACGUUCGGAAACGGACGCUAAUACCGCAUACGUCCUACGGGAGAAAGCAGGGGAACUUCGGGCCUUGCGCUAUCAGAUGAGCCUAGGUCGGAUUAGCUAGUUGGUGAGGUAAUGGCUCACCAAGGCUACGAUCCGUAACUGGUCUGAGAGGAUGAUCAGUCACACUGGAACUGAGACACGGUCCAGACUCCUACGGGAGGCAGCAGUGGGGAAUAUUGGACAAUGGGCGAAAGCCUGAUCCAGCCAUGCCGCGUGUGUGAAGAAGGUCUUCGGAUUGUAAAGCACUUUAAGUUGGGAGGAAGGGCAUUAACCUAAUACGUUAGUGUUUUGACGUUACCGACAGAAUAAGCACCGGCUAACUCUGUGCCAGCAGCCGCGGUAAUACAGAGGGUGCAAGCGUUAAUCGGAAUUACUGGGCGUAAAGCGCGCGUAGGUGGUUUGUUAAGUUGAAUGUGAAAUCCCCGGGCUCAACCUGGGAACUGCAUCCAAAACUGGCAAGCUAGAGUAUGGUAGAGGGUAGUGGAAUUUCCUGUGUAGCGGUGAAAUGCGUAUAUAUAGGAAGGAAACACCAGUGGCGAAGGCGACUUACCCUGGACUGAUACUUGACACUGGAGGUGCGAAAGCGUUGGGGAGCAAACAGGAUUUAGAUACCCCUGGGUAGUCCCACCGCCGUAAACGAUGUCAACUAGCCCGGUGGGAAGUCCUUGGAACUCCUAAGUGGGCGGCCAGCUAAACGCAUUUAUAGUUGGACCGGCCUUGGGGGAGAUAACGGCCCGCAAGGGUUAAAAACCUCAAAAUGAAAUUGAAUCGGGGGGCCGGCA